This 407-nucleotide ribosomal RNA is filed under the name uncultured prokaryote. RNAcentral describes it as "bacterial SSU rRNA". It matches the Rfam family "Bacterial small subunit ribosomal RNA", at positions 355 to 776 of the family's 1533-position model. RNAcentral also lists the same sequence under 1 other name. The record is from RNAcentral.
UGGGGAAUAUUGGGCAAUGGGCGAAAGCCUGACCCAGCAACGCCGCGUGAGUGAAGAAGGCUUUCGGGUUGUAAAGCUCUGUUAUAGGUGACGAAGGAAGUGACGGUAGCCUAUAAGGAAGCCCCGGCUAACUACGUGCCAGCAGCCGCGGUAAUACGUAGCGGGCGAGCGUUGUCCGGAAUGACUGGGCGUAAAGGGCGUGUAGGCGGCUAAAUAAGUCUGGAGUGAAAGUCCUGCAUUCAAUGUGGGAAUUGCUUUGGAUACUGUUAAGCUUGAGUGCGGAAGAGGUAAGUGGAAUUCCCAGUGUAGCGGUGAAAUGCGUAGAGAUUGGGAGGAACACCAGUGGCGAAGGCGACUUACUGGGCCGUAACUGACGCUGAGGCGCGAAAGCGUGGGGAGCGAACAGG